GUCCACGCCGUAAACGAUGAGUACUAAGUGUUGGGUGUCAAAGCUCAGUGCUGCAGUUAACGCAAUAAGUACUCCGCCUGAGUAGUACGUUCGCAAGAAUGAAACUCAAAGGAAUUGACGGGGGCCCGCACAAGCGGUGGAGCAUGUGGUUUAAUUCGAAGCAACGCGAAGAACCUUACCAGGUCUUGACAUCGAUCUAAAAGGCUCCAGAGAUGGAGAGAUAGCUAUAGAGAAGACAGGUGGUGCAUGGUUGUCGU
Molecule: ribosomal RNA, 257 nt
Filed under: uncultured bacterium
Lineage: Bacteria
Description: partial 16S ribosomal RNA
Rfam family: Bacterial small subunit ribosomal RNA
Source: RNAcentral